Molecule: ribosomal RNA, 453 nt
Filed under: uncultured bacterium
Lineage: Bacteria
Description: partial 16S ribosomal RNA
Rfam family: Bacterial small subunit ribosomal RNA
Source: RNAcentral
GAUGAACGCUGGCGGCGUGCCUAAUACAUGCAAGUCGAGCGGUAACACUUCGGGUGACGAGCGGCGGACGGCUGAGUAACACGUAGGAAUCUACCCCAGACUGAGGGAUAAGCACCGGAAACGGUGUCUAAUACCGCAUACGCUCUAAGGAGUAAAGCUUCGGCGGUUUGGGAAGAGCCUGCGCAUGAUUAGCUUGUUGGUAAGGUAAUGGCUUACCAAGGCGACGAUCAUUAGCUGGUCUGAUAGGAUGAUCAGCCAGACUGGGACUGAGACACGGCCCAGACUCCUACGGGAGGCAGCAGUAGGGAAUUUUCCACAAUGGGCGAAAGCCUGAUGGAGCAACGCCGCGUGCAGGAUGAAGGCCUUCGGGUUGUAAACUGCUUUAAUAUGUGAAGAUUAUGACGGUAGCAUAUGAAUAAGGAUCGGCUAACUCCGUGCCAGCCGCCGCAGUAA